UUUGAACAAAAUUAGUUAAGGUCUAUAUAAUUCAAAGAAUUUGGCGGUUAAUUUAAAUUUCAGAGGAACCUGUAUUUUAAUUGAUAAACCACGCUAAUUGAAACCUUAAUUAAAUUUGUAUACCUCUAUAGUUAAAAUGUUUUUUUAGAAUAUUUUUUUUUUAAGAGAUUAAUAAUUUUAGGUCAAGGUGCAGUUAUAUUAAGGUUAAUAUGGGUUACAAAAAUUCAAAAUUUAUAUUUCUAACAACUUUUGAAUUAAUUUAGGAUUUGAAAGUAAAAGAAAUUAAUUAAUUUUUUUAAAUUUU
Molecule: ribosomal RNA, 304 nt
Filed under: Potnia gladiator
Lineage: Eukaryota; Metazoa; Arthropoda; Insecta; Hemiptera; Membracidae
Description: partial 12S small subunit ribosomal RNA
Source: RNAcentral